UUUGAGAGCAAAAUAGGUCUGUUUUUAAUGGCAGGUGUGUAUUUCUAAGGUACAUAAAACAACAGCAUAUGCACCUUUUUCAGUUCUUGUACAGAGUGCAAAGGAGGUGGUUUAGAGGUAAUUAGAUGAAUGAGGCGAGUGCGCUUAGCAUUUACGAUCUGUUUUGGUAAAAUUUACUAGGUGAUAUUUUCUUACAAGUUUCUUCUUCUUCUUCUCUUUCUUUCUUUUUGUCGGUCCUCACCCCGUAAAAUUUAUUUUUGCGACUUUUCUGGAAAACGCUGCAAGCAAUACCAGGCAAUCAAAGAGUAGUAGCCUUUGUGAAUAACACUGCAAACGUACAACACCCGUAGAAUUACAAUGAGGGGCAAUCAACAAGGAAAGAGUAUGCAGCGUCUGGCUGUUCGAUAUUCUAUUUGCAAUGUAGAGAAAGUUACUUGCUUAUAUCCUGUGCUUCCUUAUAACAUAAAUCGCGUAAAGCACGCGCUCCGAAGAAGCUCAAAAAGCUAGAGUUCGGCCGAAAUAGCUGACAAAAUGCCGUAUUUCAUGUUUUUCCAGGUAUCGACCUCUUUGGGGAAACGAGCUCUUGUGGAAGCAACAAAAAAAGAGUCGAAUUUGGAUAGUCUUGAAACUCACAAGAAAAAUAGUAACCAUCUUUGAAGGGCUUUGUAACCUAGUUUUUUAGCGGAUCUCCGCUGUUCUGAAGCUGUUCAUCGUAUGGAGUGUGCUAAUUUUGAUUCCGAUCUUACGAAUCAUGCAUGUGUGCAUAAUUCUAGUUAAAUACAUUUUCCUGUUGCUCAAUAAUAUCUUUAAAGUCCUUUGACUUCCGAAACAUAGUAAUUCUUUAUUUGUAAAUUAAAAACGCUAGUUCCAAUUGAAAAUGUGUGAUAGAGCCUCAUUAGGAGCAUUUUUGAGGUGGGAAUUGAGAAUUGAAAGUCCCUCAUUAGCAUAUGCAGCGCCCACGACAUCAACUACUGACUGUCGUCGAUUUCUCGGCAUGUGUAUCAUUUCAUUUUGAAGCCUUUUAAUUUAAAGAGGCUGAAAAUUGUACCCAUGGGGCUUUCAUGCAACUCUUAAUCUUCCAGUUCAAGCAGACUACAAGAGUUGAAAUGAAAUAUGAGCCGGGUUACAGUAGUAUAUGGAAGCUAAUGAAAGCUUAUUGCUUGCACAAUCAUAGGAUGGGAUAAAAUGAUUGACAGGUUCUGCUACGUUAACUCUAACAUUUUUUGCGACUUUUCAAAUUCUACCAUCAAUGCGUGGAUUUCCAAUCAAGAACACUGCAGACUGCUUGAAAGAAAUAAUGAAGGGACUCACUCAAGUUCGAUUUGAGGUUAACAUUCUCACAGAGAACAGAACCUCGUGUAUAC
Long non-coding RNA from Stylophora pistillata, 1364 nucleotides. RefSeq lists it as uncharacterized. Lineage: Eukaryota; Metazoa; Cnidaria; Anthozoa; Scleractinia; Pocilloporidae. The record is from RefSeq and is a predicted model, not a curated record.